RNAcentral lists this ribosomal RNA (593 nucleotides) under uncultured bacterium. RNAcentral's name for it is "bacterial SSU rRNA". It matches the Rfam family "Bacterial small subunit ribosomal RNA", at positions 789 to 1381 of the family's 1533-position model. The record is from RNAcentral.
GGUAGUCCACGCCGUAAACGAUGAGUGCUAGGUGUUAGGCCCUUUCCGGGGCUUAGUGCCGGAGCUAACGCAAUAAGCACUCCGCCUGGGGAGUACGACCGCAAGGUUGAAACUCAAAGGAAUUGACGGGGGCCCGCACAAGCGGUGGAGCAUGUGGUUUAAUUCGAAGCAACGCGAAGAACCUUACCAGGUCUUGACAUCCCGAUGCUAUUCUUAGAGAUAGGAAGUUACUUCGGUACAUCGGAGACAGGUGGUGCAUGGUUGUCGUCAGCUCGUGUCGUGAGAUGUUGGGUUAANNNNNNNNNNCGAGCGCAACCCUUAUUGUUAGUUGCCAUCAUUAAGUUGGGCACUCUAGCGAGACUGCCGGUAAUAAACCGGAGGAAGGUGGGGAUGACGUCAAAUCAUCAUGCCCCUUAUGACCUGGGCUACACACGUGCUACAAUGGUCGGUACAACGAGUUGCGAGCCGGUGACGGCAAGCUAAUCUCUGAAAGCCGAUCUCAGUUCGGAUUGGAGGCUGCAACUCGCCUCCAUGAAGUCGGAAUCGCUAGUAAUCGCGGAUCAGCACGCCGCGGUGAAUACGUUCCCGGGCCU